RNAcentral lists this long non-coding RNA (617 nucleotides) under Papio anubis (olive baboon). RNAcentral describes it as "lncRNA (ENSPANG00000048543.1)". The record is from RNAcentral. Lineage: Eukaryota; Metazoa; Chordata; Mammalia; Primates; Cercopithecidae.
GUGGUUCCGGGGAUGCAGCCUCCCACUUGUGUGUGUUCGGGAGAGCGCCCCUCCACCCGUGUGUGUCUGGGGGUGCUGCCUCACGUGUGUCUGGGGGUAGGUGCACGUCUCCACCUGUGUGUGUUCCGGGGGUGCGGCCUCUCCACCUGUGUGUGUUCCGGGGGGGUGCGGCCUCUCCACCUGUGUGUGUUCCGGGGGGGGAGGCCUCCACCUGUGUGUGUUCCGGGGGGUGCAGCCUCUCCAUCUGUGUCCUUGGGGAGGGGAGGGUGCGGCCUUUCCAUCUCUGUGUCCUGUGCGGCCCUUCCAUCUCUGUGUCUGGGGGUUGUGGGCAUUCCAUCCUGUGUCUUGUCUGAGUCUUCUCUUGACAGCUGUGACCUGGAAGCCACGUCCAGGUGUGUCCAGAGUUGGUUCCUUCCAGUGGGUUCAUGGUCUCGCUGACUUCAAGAAUGGAGCCACGGACCUUAGCGCUAGCUACAGAAAAGUUCUCCAAGUCCCUACUCGACCCAGGAAGUCCAGCCGCUUCAGCUCAAGAAAUCUCUUGCAGCAGAAACAUGAGCAUCCGCUCACGCCGGUGGCUUCCCAUUUACUGUAAUCCCAGCACUGGAGGCCGAGGUAAG